UUAUUCCAAAUAACAACGAAAAGUUCAAAGGUACUGGAAUAGUUCAACUAGACUGGUCUUAGAAACGAGCCAACAAACAAGCAAAGAAGCCUAUGGUAACACGCACACCGAAACCAGUGCUGUCCUUCAGGAGUCGUGCAAGGAGCCGGUACCCAUGGGAAGUAAGCUCGGAUGAGAAAAGCGAGAACAGAGAGAUGAAGCAACAUGCCCAAGGUGAAUGAAUUAGGGGCCAGGCAGGCUGCCUGCAGAGCCCACGUGCUCCAGCGCUGCACUCAAGGCUCUGGCUCUCAAGCCUUGUUUUUCCUAGAAUGAUUCCUUAAUCAGUCUAUUAAGACAUCCGCCAAAUUCUUAUAAGAAAAUGCACAAAAGCUCUCCUAAAGGGACCCCACAACGGAAGACUCCUUGCGACAGGACGCAGGAGGAAGGUGGCCAUCUGCAAGCCAGGA
Molecule: long non-coding RNA, 446 nt
Organism: Equus caballus (horse)
Lineage: Eukaryota; Metazoa; Chordata; Mammalia; Perissodactyla; Equidae
Source: RefSeq, a predicted model, not a curated record